Molecule: non-coding RNA, 69 nt
Organism: Trichonephila clavipes
Lineage: Eukaryota; Metazoa; Arthropoda; Arachnida; Araneae; Nephilidae
Source: the annotation of a GenBank genome assembly
CUGUGGCGUAAUGAAUAGCACGUUGGACAUGUUAUCCAAGGGUCGUGGGUUCGAAUUCCACUUGAAAGG